RNA transcript from Asparagus officinalis (garden asparagus), 1509 nucleotides. It is a transcript of the gene named basic proline-rich protein-like, with no coding region annotated. Lineage: Eukaryota; Viridiplantae; Streptophyta; Magnoliopsida; Asparagales; Asparagaceae. The transcript is spliced from 4 exons. The record is from RefSeq and is a predicted model, not a curated record.
UUUGUCGCUCCCGAGCUCGUCAUUCAAGCUCUAAUGGCGGUCGCUUCCCCCUCCUCCCCCAAAACCCUAGAUCCCAAAUCCGAUAAACCCGACGCCUCAUCUGAAAAGCCCAAUCCUGAUCCCUCUUCUCAAUCCGGAAACCCUAAUCCCGAUCCGAACCCAAACCAAAACGCAAACCCUAACGCUAACCCUAAUAUCGUCGCCCCUCCUCCUCCUUCCUUUGCCCCAUCAUUCCGUCCCCUCGGAGCUCCGCCGAUGCCGCAGUACUCCGCAGUUCCAAACCCUAACCCUAGCAUCCAGCCGCCUGGGGUUUCCGCGCCAGUGACCUACAUGAUUCCAGGCGUUGCAUCUGGGGCCGGAUCGGUUACAGUUUCGGCCCCUCCGAUGAGGUAUCCGCCUCCUGGAGCUCCUCCAAUGGCGUACGGCCAAGUCCCCAAUGGAUACAUGACCGGUCAUCCGCCCGCAUGUUCAUGAUGAGAAAAAGGUGGGGCAGGCUUCCUCUUGCAAAUAUUGACAGAUCACUUCCACAGUGUGAUGUAUAGUAAGAGUUUUCCAUAUGAAAGAUUAAAGUUUAUCCAACCUACUGGACUUUAUAGAGAAUUUCCUUGACAGUGGAUCAUGUGUAGCAUCUAAGUGCUGCUUGCAAUAAUGUCCUAAGGUACAUUGUUUGCUUUUGAAUACUUUUUUUUUGUUUGCUCAUAUUCAUUUUAUCGUAUAAGUAUCUGUUACUAUGUGUUUUGAAGAAGCUUUUAGACAUAAUUUAUCUUUAAAGUUGUUAUUGUAAAAUAGUCCACUCUCCACUGCCAUGGUGUGAGCUCAGCAAGACUAAUGUACCCUUUAGUAUCUGGGGUUACUCAAGAUUAUGUUCAAGAACUUUAAUAAGGUAAGCCCACCUGUGCAGCACAUAUCUUUAUGAUUUUAUUGUAUGGUAACAUCGUUCCGCAUUUUUGUUAUAUUUUCUCUUUACAUUUGUAAAUUGAUGUAUACUUUGAAGUGACUAACCAGUUAUUAGGUUUGUGAAUAUGUUCUGACAAGCGCGCAUAGUUAUUUGCUCUGCUUUUGCAGGAAUUCCUCGUUAUCCUGGACCAUACCCACCUAUGAUUCGCCCUGGCUUUCCUCCUCGUCCGCUGCCUCCAAUGGGUGUGAUUCCACAAAUUCUUCGACCUCCUAUUCCUGGAAUUCGUGGUCCUCCUGUGGUUUCUCCAGUUGUCAGGCCUGUUGUUCCUGCUGUUGCAACUGAGAAACCACAAACAACAGUGUAUGUUAGCAAGAUAGCUCCAACUGUUGAUAAUGAUUUUCUCCUCUCUCUUCUUCGACUUUGUGGACCAGUGAAGAGUUGGAAACGUGCUCAAAAUCCCUCUGAUGGCUCUCCUACAAGUUUUGGCUUUUGUGAAUUUGAAGCUGCUGAAGGAAUUCUUCGAGCUCUACGUCUGCUAACUAAGUUGAACAUUGAUGGACAAGAGCUGGGGGUAAGUUGGUUUCUCUGUCUCUUUAGAUAUAAUUUUUGGC